Long non-coding RNA from Mytilus californianus (California mussel), 1266 nucleotides. RefSeq lists it as uncharacterized. NCBI's taxonomy places the organism in Eukaryota, Metazoa, Mollusca, Bivalvia, Mytilida, Mytilidae. The transcript is spliced from 3 exons. The record is from RefSeq and is a predicted model, not a curated record.
UCAUUGUAAUGUGUUUAUUAGAAAACUUGGAUUUUCUACUUGCAAUUUUUGUCUGUUGACAUUCGUUUUUUUUGUUUUUUUUAUGCCGGUAAGUGUUUCAAUUCCUAUAUUUACUAUCAAUUCAAUGUUAUUAUACUUUUCUCCCCUAUCAAACUGGUUGUUAAAAGGAUGAUCUACCGAAAAAAACUAGAUAUUUGAUAGACCCAAUUCGCAUUGUUUCGCGAAGAUUUUGAUCGUUUCAUAAAAUGGCUGCGUUCAUGUUUGUUAACGAGGGUAACAGCUAGAGAAAGGAAAGAACGAAGAGUGAUCGACGACAUCCUUUGAUUUUAUAACAGACCGGAAGUGAAUAAAAUAGUGUAGGUUUCAACGUCAAGAUCGACAAUGUGAAAGGUGGUCUGGAAACGCCAACCUCAAGAUGCCAUACAAUUUCAUCUUUUAUGUACCAAGUAUAUAUAUAAUGUAGAACCUGAUGAUGGCACUUGUGAUUCUAAAACUUUGAAUCGUUUUAAAACACGUUAUUAAAUGUAAUAAAAAAAACAAUCUGUGGAUUACAACAACAGUGACUCAAACCGUGCAGAUAUUACGUUUAUAUAUAUACGAACAACUGGACAACUACAGAAAACAUACACAUCCAAUUUCAGUUUUUUGCGGAAUAAGUUGAACCAGAAACAACAUGACGAGACGUAGUUAGCAGUAUAAGUAAGCCAAACUGGUUUUAUAUCUACUUGGUCCUGCUGGUAUCAUCAGAAAAGAACAAGACGUUGAUGAGGACGUACAAUUGAUGUGAGCAAGGAAAAUCGCCAAAAAGUGUGAUAAGACAAGAAAUCAAAAUGGAAAAGGAAACGUAAAUAAAAAAGAGCUAUUCUAAAACCGUAAUAUAAAUGAGAAUGAAUAAAAUGAAAAACAUCAUCCUAAAGUAUCCCGAAAAGAACAAAAGAGAUAUGUUAGAUGAUGAUUCAUCUCAAUCGUCUUCAUCUUCUGAUUAAAGUCAUAUUGAUGUCAAAUAUUUUGUAUUAUUCUAUUUACUCAGUUUUAACAAUUUUGCUCCUUAUUGCUAUUUUUUUUAUGUCACUCCGACGGAAGUUUGUGAAUUCGAUUGUUUAGAAAACGAACUUAUAUAUUAUGAUGAAUGCCAAUAAGAUGUAUCUAACCGUAAUAUCAUUAUGUAUUAAAAACCUUCAAUUGUAUUGCAAUGCAGCGACCACAGUGAAACAUAUCAAUAUAUAUUAUGAUCAAGAUCGGUGAUAUAAAAUGGUAUAAGCUUCG